AUGGCCUCCUACACCCGCCCGAACCCCGCCAACCCUAGUAGCCCGGCCCCGUCGGCGCCGCCGCUCUACCCGUCGCUCACCAUGGCGGACCUGGCGCCGGUCGAGAUCCCGCGGUCCCCGGCCUCCCCCGACGCGCCGGCGCCGUCGGACGACGUGCUGCUGCGCGCCCCCGGCGCGCAGCUCCACCUAAUCGACCGCCAGCGCAGCCACCCGCUGGCCGCCGGCGACCUCUCCCUCCACCGCAUCCGCGCCGGCGACACCUCCCUCGCCGCCAUCGCGGCCCUGGGACCCGUCCAGUGGCCGCUCGCCCGCGACGUCGCCGCCGUCAAGCUCGACCCGCGCCACUACUCCUUCUCCUUCGCCGUCCCCGCCUCCGCCGACGACCCGGCCCCCGAGCCGCUCCACUACGGCCUCACGCUCUCCGCCCCCGACCCGCGCCUGGACGCCCUGCUCGGCGCCUACACCAGGUUCUCCGCCCACUCCGUGGCCGGCAGCGAGGGGCUCGCCGACGGGGUGCGCGGUGAGGUGGAGGCCGCCGCGUACUGGACCGCCGUCGCGCCCAACGUCGAGGAGUACGGCAGCGCCGUCGCCAGGGCCAUCGCGUCCGGCGCCGAGAACGUCGCCAAGGGGAUCCUGUGGUGCGGGGUGAUGACCGUCGACAGGCUCCGGUGGGGGCAGGAGGUUCUCAGGAAGAGGAUUCAGCCCGGCGAUACCGAGGCCGAGGUCAGUCCGGAGAUGCUCAGGCGGAUCAAAAGGGCUAAGAAGGUGACAAAAAUGUCCGAGAAAGUGGCAACUGGAAUACUGUCUGGAGUUGUGAAGCUUACUAGCUCUGUUACAAGCUCAUUGGUUAACUCAAAAGCUGGCAAGAAGUUCUUCAGCCUAUUGCCUGGAGAGGUUAUUCUUGCUUCACUUGAUGGAUUUGGCAAGAUUUCUGACGCCGUAGAAGUGGCUGGGAAGGAUGUGCUAUCAACAUCGUCGACGGUGACGACCGGUCUUGUAUCCCACAAGUACGGAGAGAAAGCUGCUGCGGCAACCAACGAAGGGCUCGAUGCGGCAGGCCACGCCAUCGGAACGGCGUGGGCUGUGUUCAAGCUCCGGCAGGCAUUGAACCCGAAGAGCGUCCUGAAACCCACGUCGCUCGCCAAGUCCAGCAUCAAGGCUGGAGCCGCGGAGCUCCGGGCGAAGAGCAGCAAGAGCAAGUAG
RNAcentral lists this ribosomal RNA (1203 nucleotides) under Triticum aestivum (bread wheat). RNAcentral describes it as "partial small subunit ribosomal RNA". Lineage: Eukaryota; Viridiplantae; Streptophyta; Magnoliopsida; Poales; Poaceae. The record is from RNAcentral.